Molecule: ribosomal RNA, 947 nt
Filed under: Cortinarius vernus
Lineage: Eukaryota; Fungi; Basidiomycota; Agaricomycetes; Agaricales; Cortinariaceae
Description: eukaryotic LSU rRNA
Rfam family: Eukaryotic large subunit ribosomal RNA
Source: RNAcentral
UGUGACCUCAAAUCAGGUAGGACUACCCGCUGAACUUAAGCAUAUCAAUAAGCGGAGGAAAAGAAACUAACAAGGAUUCCCCUAGUAACUGCGAGUGAAGCGGGAAAAGCUCAAAUUUAAAAUCUGGCGGUCUUUUGGCUGUCCGAGUUGUAAUCUAGAGAAGUGUUAUCCGCGCUGGACCGUGUACAAGUCUCCUGGAAUGGAGCAUCAUAGAGGGUGAGAAUCCCGUCUUUGACAUGGACUGCCAGGGCUUUGUGAUGCGCUCUCAAAGAGUCGAGUUGUUUGGGAAUGCAGCUCAAAAUGGGUGGUAAAUUCCAUCUAAAGCUAAAUAUUGGCGAGAGACCGAUAGCGAACAAGUACCGUGAGGGAAAGAUGAAAAGAACUUUGGAAAGAGAGUUAAACAGUACGUGAAAUUGCUGAAAGGGAAACGCUUGAAGUCAGUCGCGUCAUCCAGGGAUCAACCUUGCUUUUGCUUGGUGCACUUCCUGGUUUGAUGGGUCAGCAUCAAUUUUGAUCGUUGGAAAAAGGCUGAGGGAAUGUGGCAUCUUUGGAUGUGUUAUAGCCCUCUGUCACAUACAAUGGUUGGGAUUGAGGAACUCAGCACGCCGCAAGGCCGGGUUUUAAACCACGUACGUGCUUAGGAUGCUGGCAAUAUGGCUUUAAUCGACCCGUCUUGAAACACGGACCAAGGAGUCUAACAUGCCUGCGAGUGUUUGGGUGGAAAACCCGAGCGCGUAAUGAAAGUGAAAAGUUGAGAUCCCUGUCGUGGGGAGCAUCGACGCCCGGACCAGACCUUUUGUGACGGUUCCGCGGUAGAGCAUGUAUGUUGGGACCCGAAAGAUGGUGAACUAUGCCUGAAUAGGGUGAAUCCAGAGGAAACUCUGGUGGAGGCUCGUAGCGAUUCUGACGUGCAAAUCGAUCGUCAAAUUUGGGUAUAGGGGCGAAAG